Molecule: unclassified non-coding RNA, 239 nt
Filed under: plant metagenome
Description: partial contains small subunit ribosomal RNA, internal transcribed spacer 1, and 5.8S ribosomal RNA
Rfam family: Eukaryotic small subunit ribosomal RNA (bases 1-47)
Source: RNAcentral
GAAGUCGUAACAAGGUCUCCGUUGGUGAACCAGCGGAGGGAUCAUUACAGGACUCGCAAGACUCCUUCACCCUGUGAACCUCACUACAAGCACGUUGCUUCGGCGGGUGUCCCGGCGGGGGUUUUCCCUCGCCGGGGCGCACAGCCCGCCGGCAGCCUACUAUACUCUGUCUCUUUGCGUUGGCAUCUCGAGAAAAAACAAACAAGUUAAAACUUUCAACAACGGAUCUCUUGGUUCUG